AGAGUUUGAUCAUGGCUCAGGACGAACGCUGGCGGCGUGCCUAACACAUGCAAGUCGAACGGAGAUGUUGAUUUCGGUUGACGUCUUAGUGGCGAACGGGUGAGUAACGCGUGAACAAUCUGACCUUAAGAGGGGGAUAACAACGAGAAAUCGUUGCUAAUACCGCAUAAGACCACAAUGCCGCAUGGCGAAGGGGUCAAAGGAGCAAUCCGCUUAAGGAGGGGUUCGCGUCCCAUUGGGUAGUAGGUGAGGUAACGGCCCACCUAGCCGACGAUGGGUAGCCGAGCUGAGAGGCUGAUCGGCCACACUGGAACUGAGACACGGUCCAGACUCCUACGGGAGGCAGCAGUGGGGAAUAUUGGGCAAUGGGCGCAAGCCUGACCCAGCAACGCCGCGUGAGGGAAGAAGGUUUUCGGAUUGUAAACCUCUGUCGCAGAUGACGAAACAAAUGACGGUAAUCUGUGAGGAAGCCCCGGCUAACUACGUG
Molecule: ribosomal RNA, 487 nt
Filed under: uncultured bacterium
Lineage: Bacteria
Description: bacterial SSU rRNA
Rfam family: Bacterial small subunit ribosomal RNA
Source: RNAcentral